CUACGGGGUGCUGCAGUCGAGGAAAUUUUACAAUGCUCGAAAGAGUGAUAAAAUGAGUCAGAGUGUUUCUUUUAAGAAACUUUUUUCUGAUGUAAAAAAUCAGAAGAAUAAGGACUGGGUAAGACCGGUGCCAGCCGCCGCGGUAAUACCGGCGGUCCAAGUUGCAUCCACAUUUAUUGGGUCUAAAACAUCCGUAGCUUGUUUUAUAAGUCUCUUGUGAAAUCUUAUAUCUCAAAUAUAAGGCGUGCAAGAGAUACUAUAUUACUUGAGACCGGAAGACGUAAAGAGUAUGAUUGAGGUAGCGGUAAAAUGUUUUGAUCUUAAUCAGACUAACAAUAGCGAAGGCACUUUACGAGUACGGUUCUGACAGUGAGGGAUGAAGGCUAGGGUCGCGAAAGGGAUUAGAUACCCUUGUAGUC
RNAcentral lists this ribosomal RNA (419 nucleotides) under uncultured archaeon. RNAcentral describes it as "partial 16S ribosomal RNA". It matches the Rfam family "Archaeal small subunit ribosomal RNA", at positions 323 to 746 of the family's 1478-position model. The record is from RNAcentral.